Long non-coding RNA from Siniperca chuatsi (mandarin fish), 1072 nucleotides. RefSeq lists it as uncharacterized. The record is from RefSeq and is a predicted model, not a curated record. Lineage: Eukaryota; Metazoa; Chordata; Actinopteri; Centrarchiformes; Sinipercidae. The transcript is spliced from 4 exons.
UGCCUCACCCAUCUACACACCUGUUCCCACUUCUUUCAUCAGCCCUGCAUUUACCUGGCCUACUCUGCCCAUUCCUCACCUACAACGCAUUCCCCAUAUAUAUAUCGGUCAACUUUCAUUGUUCACUGCCAGAUUGUUAAGUUAGUUCAUAUUCUUGCUUUCUAGCCUCUUUUUUCUGUUACCCUGCUUACCUGAAACCUGAACUCUGGAACUUGUUUUUGGCUACCUGACCUUUUGCAUGUUUAUUGGACUUCCUGCCUGCACCUAGUUGGAUUUGUUUGCCUGUUUAGGACUACCUCCCUGGUUUUGGUUCUGGUGGUUUAUCAAAACUGGAAAACAAAAGGGGAAAGGCAAGUAGGGAGAAGUCCAAAAAAGGCAGAUAUAUGGUCAUAACAAGCAGGCAAAACAGGUAACAAGAAGGCUGAACAUUAAGACUAUAGCAAAACUGGCAGGGAAAAGAAAGUGAAGAGGCCUGUGUAUACAGUAUAUGCCAGGGAGCUGCUUAGGGGAUUGGAAAUGGGAACAGGUGUGUAUCUGGGUGUAGAAGUCAGGUGAUAGCUAGAGGUGGAAACACUGAGGACUACUGCAGGGCGGGGGCAAGCAGGCUCUGAAAUGACAGGAAGAAUUAGUGGCUGGCAAACUGACAACAGUUUGUAAUAGGUCCGAUGGCUGCCGAUGACUGCUUUCAUCGUCUCCUGGGGACACACUUUGACCCCUGUGCUGAAGAGCGCUGACCUCUUCGUCCGAUGUCCGUCCUGCUCCGCUCUGACAUUUGUGGUGUGUCUGAUUGGUCUGGAGGCUUCUAGAAAGUGUCGGUACUUCACAUCCCUGAGUCCAGAAAAACCGUGGUCAUGAAGUUUAGAUUCCUCCUUCCUGGGUGCCCACAGCAAAUCCCUGCCUCUCAUUCCAGCAAUUGUGGGUGCCAAGUGAGGUUUGGGUGCAUAGGGUGAUGGCUGCGCUGAAAGAAGUGAGUAGACACAGUGGAGGCAUGUGUGGCCUCUCCUGUUAUGGUGUCUCAGGGUGGGAAAGCUCCAUGUUGUUAGUCUCCACCCUCAUGUGAAGAGGAUUAGCC